Molecule: ribosomal RNA, 1299 nt
Filed under: Clostridium botulinum
Lineage: Bacteria; Bacillati; Bacillota; Clostridia; Eubacteriales; Clostridiaceae
Description: bacterial SSU rRNA
Rfam family: Bacterial small subunit ribosomal RNA
Source: RNAcentral
GCUUUGAGAUGGACCCGCGGCGCAUUAGCUAGUUGGUAAGGUAACGGCUUACCAAGGCAACGAUGCGUAGCCGACCUGAGAGGGUGAUCGGCCACAUUGGAACUGAGACACGGUCCAGACUCCUACGGGAGGCAGCAGUGGGGAAUAUUGCGCAAUGGGGGAAACCCUGACGCAGCAACGCCGCGUGGGUGAUGAAGGUCUUCGGAUUGUAAAGCCCUGUUUUCUAGGACGAUAAUGACGGUACUAGAGGAGGAAGCCACGGCUAACUACGUGCCAGCAGCCGCGGUAAUACGUAGGUGGCGAGCGUUGUCCGGAUUUACUGGGCGUAAAGGGUGCGUAGGCGGAUGUUUAAGUGGGAUGUGAAAUCCCCGGGCUUAACCUGGGGGCUGCAUUCCAAACUGGAUAUCUAGAGUGCAGGAGAGGAAAGCGGAAUUCCUAGUGUAGCGGUGAAAUGCGUAGAGAUUAGGAAGAACACCAGUGGCGAAGGCGGCUUUCUGGACUGUAACUGACGCUGAGGCACGAAAGCGUGGGUAGCAAACAGGAUUAGAUACCCUGGUAGUCCACGCCGUAAACGAUGGAUACUAGGUGUAGGGGGUAUCAACUCCCCCUGUGCCGCAGUUAACACAAUAAGUAUCCCGCCUGGGGAGUACGGUCGCAAGAUUAAAACUCAAAGGAAUUGACGGGGGCCCGCACAAGCAGCGGAGCAUGUGGUUUAAUUCGAAGCAACGCGAAGAACCUUACCUGGACUUGACAUCCCUUGCAUAGCCUAGAGAUAGGUGAAGCCCUUCGGGGCAAGGAGACAGGUGGUGCAUGGUUGUCGUCAGCUCGUGUCGUGAGAUGUUAGGUUAAGUCCUGCAACGAGCGCAACCCUUGUUAUUAGUUGCUACCAUUAAGUUGAGCACUCUAAUGAGACUGCCUGGGUAACCAGGAGGAAGGUGGGGAUGACGUCAAAUCAUCAUGCCCCUUAUGUCCAGGGCUACACACGUGCUACAAUGGUAGGUACAAUAAGACGCAAGACCGUGAGGUGGAGCAAAACUUAUAAAACCUAUCUCAGUUCGGAUUGUAGGCUGCAACUCGCCUACAUGAAGCUGGAGUUGCUAGUAAUCGCGAAUCAGAAUGUCGCGGUGAAUACGUUCCCGGGCCUUGUACACACCGCCCGUCACACCAUGAGAGCUGGUAACACCCGAAGUCCGUGAGGUAACCGUAAGGAGCCAGCGGCCGAAGGUGGGAUUAGUGAUUGGGGUGAAGUCGUAACAAGGUAGCCGUAGGAGAACCUGCGGCUGGAUCACCUCCUUUCUA